RNAcentral lists this long non-coding RNA (398 nucleotides) under Struthio camelus australis. Its description in RNAcentral is "lncRNA (ENSSCUG00000016013.1)". The record is from RNAcentral. Lineage: Eukaryota; Metazoa; Chordata; Aves; Struthioniformes; Struthionidae.
UCACAGCCUCUUAUCAGUAUCAUUCAGUAUUGAGAGACCAGGCAACCAUGAUGCUCACCUCCAAAUCUCACUGACUGUAUUUUCAAAUAGAUGUAAACAAGCUCUGCCUGUACUGCAUGAUGGAUGGGUAUAAGCUGGCUCUGAUCAGAAGGCCCAUGGUGCACAACUAAAUCCUGCCAGAUGAAGCCUCCUACCAGCACUGUAGGAAGAAGGCAUGUGCUGAUCCCUGGGAGUUUCAUCUCAGGAAGGUCCUGUGGUUUCUGCCCUCAACAAACACAGUUUUGUGACAAACUCACCAGCAAAAUGAAAACAUGAAUGUUAUCACUUUUGCCAGUUUCCAAUGUGCUACCAGUGACAUUUUUUUCCCCUAAAUAUCAAUAAACAUAAAUUCGAAGGCA